AAUGUACCUUAGAAAAAGAGCAAGAGCAAUGGCGAAGAAGACGUCAUCAAGUGAUGCUCUUCUCUUGCCUCUGCUUCUUCUGUUUCUCUGUCUUUCCUCUAACGUUGGAGUCGUCGAGGCCAAAACCCGCAAACUAGGAGGCAUAUGGACAGGACCCUCCACAUCAUGGCCCGGCGGAGGAAGAAACCCAAACCCCUCCGAAAGUACGGCGAAGAAACAACCGCCGUCCGCCAAGAACUCGGGAGCUGCAAGCUACAAAAACGUACUCCCUUGAUUGAUGACGGAGGAAUAGAAUUAAUCAAUGCAUAAAUAGUGUUGUUUCUGCUGUUCCUGCCUGCAAAGGACUGUUUCCUGUGUAUGUUAAAAUAAUUUCCUCCUGCAUGGUGUUAUUUAAUGGAUAAAUUUCGUCGACAUUGAUAUUUUGAUCAAUCCUGGGUUUGAUCAGUGUCCUUGCAUGCAGACUGCACGUGUCUGAUUAAGCCUCACACGAUCGGCUUCAUUCCCCAACUCCUUAAUCACGUCAAUUUCCACUAUUUAGCCUAGUGUACAGCCUCUCGUAAUCAUUGGUGUUACACUAUAUAUGGAUGUUUUUGUAUAAAAUUACUAUAUGAGAGAGAGACGUUACUGCAAACUUAUAAAAUAUCUUAGACCAUAAUAGUGUACCAUAUCGAAGCUUUCGUCUCAGUCGAUAAACGGCGAAAAGUCUCAAGUCUAUGCAAUACGUACAAAUUGCGUCCAACAUUUAUUGCUAAUUUAAUGGUCGAAAUUGAAUGUAGCUGGUGUGGCUGCUGCUACACUUUCUCUCUCUCUAUCUAUAUAUAUAUAUGUAUGUGUGUGUGUGUGUAUGGUAGAAAGAGCAGCAAGACCAACGUGUAAACAUUGAAGACUAAUGGCGAGGAAGACAUCAUCAAACGCUGCUCUUCUCUUACCUCUGAUGCUUCUCCUUCUAUGUCUUUCGCCUCAUGUUGGAAUCGUGGAGGCCAAACACCGAAAACUAGAAACUGCUAUAGGGACAGGACCCUCCGUAUCAGGACAUGGAGGAGGGAGAGUCCAAGGCAGAGCAAAGGCGACGAAGAAACCAGCAACGAUCUCAGAAAACUCGGAAGCCACGCGCUACAAAAAUGGAGUUCCUUGAUCAGUUCCUGUGGAAGAAUCACUGCAUAGAUAUCGUGUUACAUCUAUUAAACUAAUAAGCAAUGGAUGUGUCUCAUGUAUAGGAAUCGAUUAUCUACUGCUUGUUGCUGUUGCUGCUGGUUGUAGAUCUAGUCCUGCCAAUGGACUGUUGCUUGUGUAUGUUAAAUAAAGUUCGAUUUUAAUGUCGUAAUUUCUAUAUUAACUAAAGGAAACGUUGGCAUAACCGGGUCCACCAA
This is a long non-coding RNA of Tarenaya hassleriana, 1370 nucleotides long. RefSeq lists it as uncharacterized. The transcript has 3 exons. The record is from RefSeq and is a predicted model, not a curated record. Lineage: Eukaryota; Viridiplantae; Streptophyta; Magnoliopsida; Brassicales; Cleomaceae.